GAUGAACGCUGGCGGCGUGCUUAACACAUGCAAGUCGAACGGUGAAGGCGGAGCUUGCUCUGCUGGAUCAGUGGCGAACGGGUGAGUAACACGUGAGCAAUCUGCCCCUGACUCUGGGAUAAGCUCUGGAAACGGCGUCUAAUACUGGAUACGAGCUGCGAAGGCAUCUUCAGCAGCUGGAAAGAACUUCGGUCAGGGAUGAGCUCGCGGCCUAUCAGCUUGUUGGUGAGGUAACGGCUCACCAAGGCGUCGACGGGUAGCCGGCCUGAGAGGGUGACCGGCCACACUGGGACUGAGAGACGGCCCAGACUCCUACGGGAGGCAGCAGUGGGGAAUAUUGCACAAUGGGCGAAAGCCUGAUGCAGCAACGCCGCGUGAGGGAAGACGGCCUUCGGGUUGUAAACCUCUUUUAGCAGGGAAGAAGCGAAAGUGACGGUACCUGCAGAAAAAGCGCCGGCUAACUACGUG
This 468-nucleotide ribosomal RNA is filed under the name uncultured bacterium. Its description in RNAcentral is "partial 16S ribosomal RNA". It matches the Rfam family "Bacterial small subunit ribosomal RNA", at positions 28 to 507 of the family's 1533-position model. The record is from RNAcentral.